AGCUAUAUAUUAAAGAGAUUUAUUUAUAUAAAUAGGUUUGCUAGCUGAUUGUGUAUAUACGCAGGCCAAUGCUUCUAAUUUCAUAGCAAGCUCGCUUGCUAUGAAAUAGGCAACCAGUAAUAUAAGCAAGUGUGUGCUAUUUAUAGCGCUAGCCUACAAACCUAUAAUUAUAUUAACUCUAAGAGAAAUUUAAUAAUAAACGAAGUGAAUUGAAAUAUCUUAGUAACUUUAGGAAAAGAAAUCAAAAGAGAUUCUAUGAUUAGCGUGAGCUAAAAUAGACUAGCCUAAAAAGUCAAAUGGUGGAUAAACUGUUUAAAUUAAAUGGGGAACCUUCCUCAAAGGCUAAAUAUAAUAUAUAAGCGAUAGUGGAAAGUACCGUGAGGGAACCAAAACAAAAACAGUGAUUUUAUAAGCAGUUCGGUAAAAUAAAAAAAAAGUUAGAACGUACCUUUUGCAUAAUGGGUCACCAAGUUAACAUUAGAUGCGAGUAGGAGGGAGCAGCCCCGUGCAUACGUAGUUAAACCGAGCGUUAAAAUAACGGUAAGUAUCUAAAGUUAGACCCGAAGCCUGGUGAUUUUACCAUAAUCAGGAUUAUAAAAGUCCGAACGGAAUAUUGUAGCAUAAAUAUCCGAAGAAUUAUGGUAGGUGUAGUGAAAGACAAUACUGACCAGGAUAGCUGGUUUUCUGCGAAACCUAUAACAGUAGGCAAUUUAAGUAUAAUAUCUUAGCAGGUACAGAAUUUAAUCUCAGACAAGACAUAAGGCUUAGCUUGUUAGCAAGUAAAGCUCAUGUUUUAUUUUGUACAAAUUGGGGGAUCAUGAAGAUUUUAUCAGUGAGUAUGUAGACUCGGAAUGGCAAAGAUAUAUCUUAAAUCAUCAGACAUAGAAUGAUAAGGUUGUAUGUCAAAAGGGAAACAGCCCAGAACAAGAGUUAAGGUUCCUAAAUUAUUAGUUGAGUGAAAUUAAGAAGGUUUUUAUUAAAGUCGACAAGGAGAUAGGCUUAGAAGCAGCCAUAAUUUUAUGACCUCGUAACAGAGCGCUUGUUAAGUUUUAAAAGCAUCGAAAAUUUAUCGGAUCUAAACAAUAUACCGAAACCUUGUCCAUAUUAUUUUAUAAUUAAAGCUUAAUUAUAAUUAAAUGGGGUAGCAGAACGUUGAGCUAAAUUAAGAUUUUUAUUUUUUAAAUGAAAUUAUAAUAAUUUAACUCAAGUGAUAAUGGUGACAUGAGUAACUAAAAGAAAAAAUAAAAUUUUUCCGCCUAAAGCUUAUGGAUGUAAUUAAGUAACGGCCUCUAAGUUUAUAUUAUCUAAAGAUUUAAACGAUGAGAUAAUCUUUUGUACUAAGGACGACAUUUUAAGUGAAAAAUGUACUGGAAAAAUAGUACUAAAUUAAUGGCUAUAGCUAAUUAGGGCUAUAAAAAAAAAUUUAUUUUUUUUUUAUAAAGCUCGCUAUAGCUAUAAAUGAAAAGUAACCGUACCUAGAAUCUGAAACAAGUAAGCUAGUAGAGAAUACGAAGGCGUAAAUGAGCUAACAAUCAUAAAGGAACUCGGCAAAUUGACUACCGUAACUUCGGGAUAAGGAGAGCUCAUUAUUCUUGAUUAAUAUCAGGUAAAGAGGAAGAAGCAUGAAAUAGUGUUGUACGACUGUUUAAUUAAAACACAGCACUUUGCUGAAAGAUUAAAAAUCUAAGUAUAGAGUGUGAUGUCUGCCCGGUGCCGGCUGGUUAACAGAUAUAAUUAAAUAUACUAAUAUUUGAUGUAGACGGAAACCCCGGUUAAAGGCGGCCUUAACGUGAGGGUCCUAAGGUAGCGAAAUGCCUUGGCCGUUAAAUGCGGUCUUGCAUGAAUGAUGUAACGAUACAACAGCUGUCUCUAUGAUUGACUCAGUGAAAUUGGAAUAGCUGUGCAGAUACAGUUUACCUCUAGUUAGACGAGAAGACCCUAUGCAGCUUUACUGUCACUAAUUAUAGAGUAUGAUAAACAAUUUUCAGAUUAUAAGGUAAUUGACGGCUAGCUUGUUCAGCAAGCUAGCUCUAUGACAAUGAGAAUCCUUUAUUUUUUUUUCAUAUGAAUGAAUUGGUUUAGGAUUAUGAGUAGGUAGCUGCUUCUGCUACUUGGCGCAAGCAUUGCUUGCGUCAAGUGUCUGAAGUAUGCAUUCCAGCUCAUGCAUAGUAAAUCAACCUAAUUCAGCUUAUUUUCCUUUCUGCCAUAAGCGCAUAAUGAUAGAUUUAACUUAAAUUUUGAUUUAUGCCGAGCCCCUCCGGGGCUACUGCAGAAAUAGAUAAGUACCCUUGGCUAAGGAACUAUCGCUAGGGGACAGUUUAUGUGGGGCACAGACCCUGUAAAGAGUAAACAGGAGUGUCUAAUAAUUUAUAAUUAUUUUGUUUGCGAUUUAAGAUAGUGAAACUAUUUUUAAUCAUAUAAAAUUAUUUAUAUGUACAUUCGUUGUAUAUAUAUUUAAAAAAAGGUAGGAUUUUCACUAUAUAGAAAUUAGAGAUAAUAAAAAUAUUAAGAAUAUACCUUUCAGGUAACACUAAUAUUUUUUAGCUAUUAAGACAGGCUAUCAAGCUAGGCUCUAAUAGUUAUGUAUUAAUUAUCUAAAAAGCUCAACGGCUAAAUCUUGCCUUACUGUUUGAUUAUCAACAAAUCUUACAGUUGCGUAAGCAGGGCAUAGGAUCACAAGAUGCAACAAGGAAAGAUCUUGGAUUAUUGGAAAAGCUACGCUAGGGAUAACAGGCUAAUUUGCGCAAGAGUGUACAAAAUGAGUGCGCGGUUUGGCACCUCGAUGUCGGCUUAACUUAUCCUCAUGGAUGCAGGAACUAUGUAGGGUGCGACUGUUCGUCGAUUAAAAAGUUACAUGAGCUGGGUUAAAUACGUCGUGAGACAGUAUGGUUUCUAUCUUCUAGGGGGAAUUAGAAUAUAAUAAGAACUAACUUUUGUACGAAAGGAACAAGAAGAAUUUAAUUUGUAAAAGGGUUAAAUAAUAGUUACUAACCUAUGGUUUACCUGUUGUCUAUGUGCCCAAAUAUUAAAAUAUAUAUAUGGAGGAAGCUCCUUAAGAGCUUCCCCCGCAAAUUAUAUAUAUCUGUAUAGCUAGCCUGCGGACUCCGGUUAUGCCUGAGUUUGGCAAGCUAAAGCUAUACAUAGGGAUGUUUCUUUCACUAAGAUAAAUAUAUAGCAUAGGCACGGCAGGAAAGCUAAGUUGGUUAAGGAUAAGUGCUGAAAGCAUAUAGGCACGAAGCUUAUCUUAAGAUAUUUCUUAAAUAUACGUAAAAUAUUAUUACGAAGGAUGUAAUAUAGGCUUUAUCCGUACGAAUCAGGAGAUUUUUAAGAAUAAAGUACUAAUUUUAUAAAUAACUAUUUAU
RNAcentral lists this ribosomal RNA (3362 nucleotides) under Fusarium annulatum. RNAcentral's name for it is "16S ribosomal RNA". It matches the Rfam family "Bacterial large subunit ribosomal RNA". The record is from RNAcentral. Lineage: Eukaryota; Fungi; Ascomycota; Sordariomycetes; Hypocreales; Nectriaceae.